CGGGAUGUAGCGCAGCUUGGUAGCGCAUCCGCUUUGGGAGCGGAGGGUCGCAGGUUCAAAUCCUGUCAUCCCGACCA
This 77-nucleotide transfer RNA is filed under the name Nocardia sp. RNAcentral describes it as "tRNA-Pro". It matches the Rfam family "tRNA". Rfam says of the family: Transfer RNA (tRNA) molecules are approximately 80 nucleotides in length. RNAcentral also lists the same sequence under 43 other names. Lineage: Bacteria; Bacillati; Actinomycetota; Actinomycetes; Mycobacteriales; Nocardiaceae. The record is from RNAcentral.